UACUGGGAGAAUACACUAGUGGGGAUAGUUCUGUGUAUACAGUGAUUAAGCACAUAGGUUCUGGAGCCAGUCUGUUUCUUUCAAAAUCACCUCAUUGCUUUUGAAGAAUCAGGGAAACCCCCAUGAGACUACAGGUGUGAAGCAAGAUAGAAGCAUCAGUGCAAAAGAGUACUGCAUUUCCAAAUAAAGCCACUCACAAUCUUUAAUCAGGCUGUAAAUUUUAAGAAAUCUGGACCAAGACAGUUUGCUCCAAGAGUAUCCCACAAAUGCAGAUCUUCAGAGUGAGAUUUUAUUAUUGGAUUGCUCACCUGUCUGUUGAUUCUCUUACUGAGAUACCUUGGAACAUGGUUUGAAUAAUAUUGCUCUAACUUCUUUCAUGUCAGGAAGCUCUGAGAUACUUCCUUUUCUUACUUAAUAAGAAUAGACCUUGGAGGUCUGGACCUGGACAUGAACGUACACUUUUCUAAAGAAGAUAUACACAUGGCCAACAAGCAUGUGAAAAAAAGCUCAAUAUCACUGAUCAUUAGAGAAAUGCAAAUGAAAAUCACAAUGAGAGACCAUCUCACACCAGUCAGAAUGGCUAUUAUUAAAAACUCAAAAAAUAACAGAUGCUGGCGAGGUUGCAGAGAAAAGGGAACACUUAUACACUGUUGGUGGGAGUGUAAAUUAGUUCAACUAUUGUGUAAAGCAAUAUGUCAAUUCCUCAAAGAGCUAAAAAAGAACUACCAUUGGACUCAGCAAUCCCAUUACUGGGUAUAUACUCAGAGGAAUAUAAGUCACUCUACUAUAAACACACACGCAUGCAAAUUUUCAUUGUAGCACUAUUUACAAUAGCAAAGACAUGGAAUCAACCUAAAUGCUCAUCAAUGACAGAUCGGAUAAAGAAAAUAUGCAUCUUCAACCUUUCUGGACUACAGCACCUGCCAACUGACCCCCACAUCAUGGCUCCAACGCUGGCUUCAUCACAUAUCUUCUCUCUCAGUCCCUUUGGCUCUCAGGGUGCAAUAGCUUAACAAAAUUGCUGAUCUAGGUGCCUCAGCAUUGUUUCUUUGUCAUAGUCUCUGUAUUAUCUUAUUUUGAGCCAUUCUUUUCCUGCAAAGAUCCUAACUGAAUGAGAUAACUACUUCAUAAGCUAUUUGUAAGGUUUAAAUAAAUUAAUGCAUAUUUAAUACAUGAA
This 1177-nucleotide long non-coding RNA is filed under the name Homo sapiens (human). RNAcentral's name for it is "novel transcript". Lineage: Eukaryota; Metazoa; Chordata; Mammalia; Primates; Hominidae. The record is from RNAcentral.